UACGUAGGGGCCUAGCGUUGUCCGGAAUUAUUGGGCGUAAAGAGCUCGUAGGCGGUCUGUCGCGUCUGCUGUGAAAACUCAGGGCUUAACCCUGAGCUUGCAGUGGGUACGGGCAGACUAGAGUGCGGUAGGGGAGACUGGAAUUCCUGGUGUAGCGGUGAAAUGCGCAGAUAUCAGGAGGAACACCGAUGGUGAAGGCAGGUCACUGGGCCGCAACUGACGCUGAGGAGCGAAAGCAUGGGGAGCGAACAGG
This 253-nucleotide ribosomal RNA is filed under the name uncultured bacterium. RNAcentral describes it as "partial 16S ribosomal RNA". It matches the Rfam family "Bacterial small subunit ribosomal RNA", at positions 524 to 776 of the family's 1533-position model. The record is from RNAcentral.